GUGCUCGCUUCAGCAGCACAUACACUAAAAUUGGAACAAUACAGAGAAGAUUAGCUUAGCCCCUGCGCAAGGAUGACAUGCAAAUUUGUGAAGCGUUCCAUAUUUUU
This 107-nucleotide small nuclear RNA is filed under the name Microcebus murinus (gray mouse lemur). The record is from RNAcentral. Lineage: Eukaryota; Metazoa; Chordata; Mammalia; Primates; Cheirogaleidae.